RNAcentral lists this ribosomal RNA (251 nucleotides) under uncultured prokaryote. Its description in RNAcentral is "partial 16S rRNA". It matches the Rfam family "Bacterial small subunit ribosomal RNA", at positions 525 to 775 of the family's 1533-position model. The record is from RNAcentral.
ACGGGGGGUGCGAGCGUUGUUCGGAAUUAUUGGGCGUAAAGAGCGUGUAGGCGGCUGAAUAAGUCAGAUGUGAAAUCCCUGGGCUUAACCCAGGACGUGCAUUUGAAACUAUUCGGCUAGAGUAGGGGAGAGGAAAGUGGAAUUCCUGGUGGGGGGGUGAAAUACGUAGAUCUGAGGAGGAACCCCGGUGGCGAAGGCGACAAACUGGACUUAAACUGAUGGUGAGCCGCGUGAGCGUGGGCAACAAACAG